Molecule: long non-coding RNA, 839 nt
Organism: Numida meleagris (helmeted guineafowl)
Lineage: Eukaryota; Metazoa; Chordata; Aves; Galliformes; Numididae
Exons: 3
Source: RefSeq, a predicted model, not a curated record
CUCAUGGGAUUGCAUGGGCUCCUGACUCAUAGCGUGUGCUGAAGCACUUGGAGCAGAAAGGCAGUACAGGUCCUGCAGCUGCUUGGAGAGUCACAGUGUACACUCUGUGGGGAGCCUGAAGAUAUGAUGUGGCAAAUGUCCUUUCAAUUCCACAGCAUUUCAUAGUCAAGUCUGGCUCUCCAGAAAGAUACUGCUGUGCAGAAAGGAUAUGAGUAACAGUACUUCUGUAUGUCACUGUGAUCUGUGGAAACUUUAACAGCAUAGAAAGAAGACUCAACUUUCGUUAUGAAUAGUUCAGUCAAGACCUGUAAUUAAGAUGACAGUUAAACAAAAAAUAAAAUAUGAAUAUUUGUAAGGAUUGAGAUGGAGAGUACAAUGCAGUAUAUUAAAACACCACCUAUGCAUGUUAGAAGUACCCCAGCCUGAAAUACCAAGUUGAAUCUGUACUGCCCCUGCCACCAGGAAGGAGCAUAGCAAAGAGAGUAGGAGUCAGAUAUGUAGUAGACUCGAUAAAAAUAUGUGAGGAGCAGUCCUACACCAAUGAAUGUCAAGAUGGUUUGCUCUGUGUUAUUUAGAGAAGAUAAUAAUCAAAGAAAACAAAAUACACCUACUGCACAUUCUUGACAAAUGAUGCAUCCCAUUUUUUCCAUGGGACCAGGAAAACCAUACGUUCUAGUUUUUUAAUACAUCCUGAGUGAGUAAAUAUUCAAAAGCAGAACAAGUAUAAUGCAGAAGGGCAAAUGCAGUUGUGGAAUUUACUUCCAUGAUGUGACUUUUGUGAUUGACUUAAAUUAGUGCUGCAUGUUUCAGUGAAUAGUAAGAAUAUUCCUAUGGAUCUG